CGCGGAGAUUCGAUUUCCGUAGGUGAACCUGCGGCCCGAUCAUUCGCACGUAUCCAUUUGAAUCAUGUGAACUACUUUUGUGGGUCUCUGGUGGAGGUUGAGAUCACAUCGAUGCCUUCAUACAGAAACCCGCGGGCUGCAGGGCGGCAUCGGACCGUCUUCCUUUACCGUUCCUGCUGCCAAUGGUCUUCUUGACACUCACUUCUUCUACCAUGUUCCUUCUGAGUUUGUUACUCUUGUGAUUCUAAACACAACUUUCAGCGACGGAUGUCUCGGCUCGAACAACGAUGAAGGGCGCAGCGAAGUGUGAUAAGCAUUGUGAAUUGCAGAAUUCCGUGAACCAAUAGGGAUUUGAACGUAUACUGCGCUUUCGGGAUAUUCCUGAAAGCAUGCCUGCUUCGGUGUCUACUCACAUUCAUUCCAGCACGUUUGCUUGCCUUGCGCCAGCAGUGUGCUUGUGAGCAUUUGUGUGUCAGGGCGUUCUGCGCCUUGACGCAUUCAGGUCAUAGGGCCUUCUGCUACAACCAACUUGAAGAGCAUCUUGUGUGCCUUUGGUGUUGGACCUGUUGCUGGAGGGCGCCUAACAAUGACAUUGCAUCAUCUUCUGGGUGGUGUUCCAUUCCAAGACACGAAGUUAGGUCAGCAAACCCGCUGAAUUUAAGCAUAUCAAUA
RNAcentral lists this ribosomal RNA (672 nucleotides) under uncultured eukaryote. RNAcentral describes it as "eukaryotic LSU rRNA". The stretch from base 253 to 407 matches the Rfam family "5.8S ribosomal RNA". The record is from RNAcentral.